Long non-coding RNA from Mya arenaria, 300 nucleotides. RefSeq lists it as uncharacterized. The record is from RefSeq and is a predicted model, not a curated record. The transcript is spliced from 3 exons. NCBI's taxonomy places the organism in Eukaryota, Metazoa, Mollusca, Bivalvia, Myida, Myidae.
CAAAAUGCUCUUAUUUCAAUGCAUUUCAAGAGUUUUGUUGUGAUAAAAACACUGGAAUAUAGACUGAAAUACUAUCCAACCAUUAGACUCAUGAUCUUGACAUGGAUCCAAGAUGCUGGUAACUAAGCGGGACGGAUUGUUUCACAGAACUGCAGGUUUCUGGAUGGAGACUCAGCGCCAUGUCACAAAUACUUCAGAACCUAGAAUGAAAGUUACCGAAAGAGCAAUAGACUUUCCAAUCUCUACAAAAUUCAUCUUAACUGUUCUUCAAGGUGAUACUUGAGACUACCAAAGACUUUU